AUGUUCUCCUUCAAGUCCAGCGUCAAGUCGUCUUCCAGUGGGAACCAAGUUUCCACGCCGCGCUUCACUGAGGAAUCAGAUAUGCACGAGCAGUUGAACAAGUUGCAGGAGGAGCUGGUAAGGGAGAAAGAGGAGAAGGUACGUGCACUGGAUCAGAUAGAGGAGCUCAAGAAGAAAAGCAGUAAGAAGAAGCUAAAAGGCAGCAGUGGAGACGAUCAGUUGGACCUUGCACGCAGAUUAGAGCAGUUAGAAGUUGAGCUGGAGGCAGCAAGGGAUUCAGAGAAGAACAUGCUAGUGUCGCUGGAGGCCCAAACAAAGCAGCUUGAACAAACUAAGGUAUCUCUGGAGGAGGCCAAGCUUGAGAUAGAUUCGCUUGAAGACAACAACAAGACCUUGGUGGCACUGUCCUCUAAUCCAACUAGACAGCCAGCCAGGAAUUUCAGAAGAAGUGGUGUAAUGUCCUUCUCCUUUGCCGAUCCUGGUGAGGUGGAGACAUUCUCAUUACAGCGUGACCUCAAGUUGGCUGUCGAAGCCGAGGAGAAGUGCAAGAAAGCCAUGGAUGACUUGGCGAUAGCCUUGACGGAACAAACCACGGCAGCUAGAGAGGCAAAAAUGGAGCUCUCGAUGGUGCAAGCUCAGUUGAAAAAUGCAACAACUGAAUUGGAGAACUCAAAGGCCUCUCUGGAAAUCAUGGAAGAAAAGCUCCGGUUGGCACAGGAAGAGGCUGCCAGACUGAAUUUUGAGUUGGAUGAGUUGGCAGCAGCCUCAAGAGAGAAAGAGAGAGGACUCAUCGAUUGCAUCAAGAUAUUUGAGGGGGAGAUGAACAAAGCAAAGGAAGAGAAUGACAAACUGUUUGAAUCACAGAGAGUGAUCAGAGAUGAGAAUUCCAGGCUGAGGGAAAUGCUGAAGCAUGCAGUUAAUGAAGCCAAUGUAGCAAAAGAAUCCUUGGAGAUUGCCAGGGUAGAAAAUUCUCAGCUUCAAGAAGACAUGUCUGAGAAAGAGAAUACCUUAAAGAGCAUCGUCCAAGAAUACGAGUCCUUGAAGGUAAGUGAGGCUGCUGCACAGAGUAGCAUUAGAGAAUUGAAGGACAUGAUUGAUGCUAUGUUCAGUUCAGAGUCGACCAAAACCUCGGCAGAAGCAUCACCCAUAGAUGCCAAGGGAGGCAACAGGAAAGGAAGAUAUGUGGCAGCAGAUAAUAUGUACUCUGAUGCUGAAAGCUCUCCUUGUUCAAAGGAUAUUAGGAGUCCUGCAAGGCAGCAAAAGAGGACGAUUCUUAGGAAAUUUGGUGACAUAAUGAAGAAAAGAAACCCUCAAACUCAAAGUGUAAUCUAG
This 1332-nucleotide ribosomal RNA is filed under the name Triticum aestivum (bread wheat). RNAcentral's name for it is "partial small subunit ribosomal RNA". The record is from RNAcentral. Lineage: Eukaryota; Viridiplantae; Streptophyta; Magnoliopsida; Poales; Poaceae.